RNAcentral lists this ribosomal RNA (531 nucleotides) under Serratia marcescens. RNAcentral's name for it is "bacterial SSU rRNA". It matches the Rfam family "Bacterial small subunit ribosomal RNA", at positions 1 to 526 of the family's 1533-position model. Lineage: Bacteria; Pseudomonadati; Pseudomonadota; Gammaproteobacteria; Enterobacterales; Yersiniaceae. The record is from RNAcentral.
AUUAGAGUUUGAUCCUGGGUCAGAUUGAACGCUGGCGGCAGGCUUAACACAUGCAAGUCGAGCGGUAGCACAGGGGAGCUUGCUCCCUGGGUGACGAGCGGCGGACGGGUGAGUAAUGUCUGGGAAACUGCCUGAUGGAGGGGGAUAACUACUGGAAACGGUAGCUAAUACCGCAUAACGUCGCAAGACCAAAGAGGGGGACCUUCGGGCCUCUUGCCAUCAGAUGUGCCCAGAUGGGAUUAGCUAGUAGGUGGGGUAAUGGCUCACCUAGGCGACGAUCCCUAGCUGGUCUGAGAGGAUGACCAGCCACACUGGAACUGAGACACGGUCCAGACUCCUACGGGAGGCAGCAGUGGGGAAUAUUGCACAAUGGGCGCAAGCCUGAUGCAGCCAUGCCGCGUGUGUGAAGAAGGCCUUCGGGUUGUAAAGCACUUUCAGCGAGGAGGAAGGUGGUGAGCUUAAUACGCUCAUCAAUUGACGUUACUCGCAGAAGAAGCACCGGCUAACUCCGCGCCGCACCCGCGGUAAUAC